GAGGCAUGUCGCCGUGGCGACCAUCCUCCCUCCCCCACGACGCCUACUUGACACCCCCGAGCCCCCUCGAACCCUAGCGCCCCCAGAUUCCAUCCCCUCGCUCGACUCCCCUCGGUCCAGGCAAACCCGAGAGCAACCGCCGCCACGCCAUCUUCGAUCAUGUGGCCGCCGUGCUCCCCGAGCCACGCGGAAACGUCUAGCAGCUCCGCCACGCUCAUCUUCGUCGUCUACUAUCAUCGGUUCGAACUGGAGCGCAAUACAUCGCCGUCAUCGUCUUCGUCUUCACCAUCGGUCACCGAAGGGAGCCGUCUUCGAUUCGUUGUCACCACACCUCCCCCGAGCCGGCUGAGUUGCUCAUCGGAAUCUCUAUGCUGACAAUGAAUAAGGACAAAGCUUUUGGAGUUGUCUUCAAGACAUUCAAGAGGGAAUGCAGGUGAAGUACAGGACUUGGCACUUUGAUUUGGCAUUGGAAGAUUUGAAGAUGGUCGUUUGGAGGCUUGGAGAUGUGAAAGAUGCCAUGAUGAUUCCAACUUUAAAGUGAUUUGUGAACUAUAAGUUCUAUUUCAGAAGUUACAUAGCUGUUGAACCAUCUACUAUUGUUUUUUGUUGAAAUUUACUCAAGUUAUGCUGCUGAAAUGUGCUUGUUUUGCUGCUGAAA
Long non-coding RNA from Aegilops tauschii subsp. strangulata, 658 nucleotides. RefSeq lists it as uncharacterized. The record is from RefSeq and is a predicted model, not a curated record. Lineage: Eukaryota; Viridiplantae; Streptophyta; Magnoliopsida; Poales; Poaceae.